CACCCUCAGCAUGGACAAAGAGACACCUUGGUGGUGUUGUUCUUACAUCAGUCAGGGGUAGAGCAGAUGGCAGUCCUUUGUUCAUUCUAGCUUGGUGCCCUGCUUAGUGGGCAAAGCUAUCUUAUGCCUAGGACUCAUAA
Molecule: small nucleolar RNA, 140 nt
Organism: Rattus rattus (black rat)
Lineage: Eukaryota; Metazoa; Chordata; Mammalia; Rodentia; Muridae
Product: small nucleolar RNA SNORA48
Exons: 1
Source: RefSeq, a predicted model, not a curated record